This 347-nucleotide ribosomal RNA is filed under the name uncultured bacterium. RNAcentral describes it as "bacterial SSU rRNA". It matches the Rfam family "Bacterial small subunit ribosomal RNA", at positions 111 to 456 of the family's 1533-position model. The record is from RNAcentral.
UAACGCGUAAGGAACCUGCCUUCUAGAGGGGAAUAACAAUGAGAAAUCAUUGCUAAUACCGCAUAUGCCGAGAGAAUCACAUGGUACAAUCGGGAAAAGAGUAAUCUGCUAGAAGAUGGCCUUGCGUCUGAUUAGAUAGUUGGUGGGGUAACGGCCUACCAAGUCGACGAUCAGUAGCCGGACUGAGAGGUUGAACGGCCACAUUGGGACUGAGAUACGGCCCAGACUCCUACGGGAGGCAGCAGUCGGGAAUAUUGCGCAAUGGAGGAAACUCUGACGCAGUGACGCCGCGUAUAGGAAGAAGGUUUUCGGAUUGUAAACUAUUGUCGUUAGGGAAGAGAAAGGAC